AGAGCGAACGCUGGCGGCGUGCUUAACACAUGCAAGUCGAACGCGCAGCAUUCUGUAGCAAUACAGGGUGUGGGCGCGUGGCGAACGGGUGCGUAACACGUGGAUAACCUUCCUUCAGGUGGGGAAUAACCCAGUGAAAAUUGGGCUAAUACCGCAUAACAUGACGAUGCCACAUGGUGUUGUCUUCAAAGGCGCAAGUCGCCAGAAGAGGGAUCCGCGGCCGAUUAGCUUGUUGGCGAGGUAAUGGCUCACCAAGGCAAUGAUCGGUAGCCGGACUGAGAGGUUGGCCGGCCACACUGGAACUGAGACACGGUCCAGACUCCUACGGGAGGCAGCAGUGGGGAAUCUUGCACAAUGGACGAAAGUCUGAUGCAGCAACGCCGCGUGGGGAUGAAGCUUUCGGAGUGUAAACCCUUUCGACCCGGAAGAAUGCCCGCAAGGUUGACGGUACGGGUAUAAGAAGCCCGGCUAACUACGCGCCAGCAGCCGCGGUAAC
Molecule: ribosomal RNA, 496 nt
Filed under: uncultured bacterium
Lineage: Bacteria
Description: SSU rRNA
Rfam family: Bacterial small subunit ribosomal RNA
Source: RNAcentral